UCCUAAGGAGAAACAUGAGGAAACACUAGCUGCAAGUGCUGCAGAGCAGCCUGAUGAAGAUUAUGAGUCAGAUACUGGUCUCGAUUCACUGGAUUUGCCUGAAGUCCCGAAAGCUGCUAUUCGUCCACCUACUGAUGCCCCAUCAACCCCAGAUAUUGGUCCACAUGAUCAAAGCUCUCAAUCAACUCCUCAUGAAUUCUCAAAUCCCAAUUUGCCUUCAGUCCCAAAAGCUGCAGUUUGUCCACCUCCUGACGUACCAUCAACCCAUGAUAUUGGUCCACAUGCUCAAACCUCCCAGUCAAUUCCUCAUGAAUUCUCAAAUCCUACCGACUUGGAGGAGAAUCCAACAGCUGAUGGUAUUUUUAAGAUUCAAA
Molecule: long non-coding RNA, 374 nt
Filed under: Setaria italica (foxtail millet)
Lineage: Eukaryota; Viridiplantae; Streptophyta; Magnoliopsida; Poales; Poaceae
Description: long non-coding RNA (SITA_LNC004296)
Source: RNAcentral